This 58-nucleotide non-coding RNA is filed under the name Sphingomonas sp. RNAcentral describes it as "Li+-I sequence". It matches the Rfam family "nhaA-I RNA". Rfam says of the family: Acidobacteria, Alphaproteobacteria, Betaproteobacteria and Gammaproteobacteria, Verrucomicrobia, cand. division NC10. Downstream gene Lineage: Bacteria; Pseudomonadati; Pseudomonadota; Alphaproteobacteria; Sphingomonadales; Sphingomonadaceae. The record is from RNAcentral.
GGGUGUUCGGCGCGGCAAGGCGGCGGGCAGGGUAUUCGCGCUGGUCGGGCCGCCAGUG